This 505-nucleotide ribosomal RNA is filed under the name uncultured bacterium. RNAcentral's name for it is "partial 16S ribosomal RNA". It matches the Rfam family "Bacterial small subunit ribosomal RNA", at positions 28 to 507 of the family's 1533-position model. The record is from RNAcentral.
GACGAACGCUGGCGGCGUGCCUAAUACAUGCAAGUAGAACGCACAGUUUAUACCGUAGCUUGCUACACCAUAGACUGUGAGUUGCGAACGGGUGAGUAACGCGUAGGUAACCUGCCUGGUAGCGGGGGAUAACUAUUGGAAACGAUAGCUAAUACCGCAUAAUAUUAAUUAUUGCAUGAUAAUUAAUUGAAAGGUGCAAUUGCACCACUACCAGAUGGACCUGCGUUGUAUUAGCUAGUAGGUGAGGUAACGGCUCACCUAGGCGACGAUACAUAGCCGACCUGAGAGGGUGAUCGGCCACACUGGGACUGAGACACGGCCCAGACUCCUACGGGAGGCAGCAGUAGGGAAUCUUCGGCAGUGGACGAAAGUCUGACCGAGCAACGCCGCGUGAGUGAAGAAGGUUUUCGGAUCGUAAAGCUCUGUUGUAAGAGAAGAACGGGUGUGAGAGUGGAAAGUUCACACUGUGACGGUAUCUUACCAGAAAGGGACGGCUAACUACGUG